AUUAGCUUCUGAAAUGUGGGUUCAAUAGAUAUUUCAAACAAUAGUCUCCAUGGUAUAAUUCCAAAUUUUUCUGGAAAGAAUAUUAUUGGUUUCCUAAGUCUUGCAUCAAAUCAAUUUGAAGGUCCUAUUCCACCAUUUCUACGAGGUUCCAUAUUUCUUGAUUUAUCUAAUAAUAAUUUAUCAGAUUCGCAUUCAUUUUUAUGUGCCAGUGGUCCUGAAAAAACACUAUAUCAGUUAGACCUUUCACAUAAUCAUCUUUCUGGACAAAUUCCAGAUUGUUGGAGCCAUUUUAAGUCGUUAGCUUAUUUAGAUUUGAGCCACAACAAAUUUUCAGGAAACAUUCCUACUUCAUUAGGAUUGCUUCUUGGUCUUCAAGCAUUAUUAUUAAGAAACAACAACUUAACACAUGAGAUACCUUUCUCCUUAAGACGUUGUACAAAGUUAGUGAUGCUUGAUAUGUCAAACAACAAUUUAUCAGGGCAAAUCCCUCCUUGGAUCGGGAGCGAAAUGCAAGAGUUGCAAAUCUUAAGUUUGGGAAGUAAUAAUUUCAAUGGAAUUUUACCAUUACAAAUUUGUUAUCUGAAAAGCAUCCAAAUAUUUGAUCUCUCACUAAAUAACUUAUCUGGAAAAAUUCCUGCAUGUAUAAAUAAUUUUACAUCAAUGGUUAACAAGACAUUUUCAAGUAAUUAUGGACGUCAUGAGUAUUUUAUCAACAUUAGUGAGUUUAGAACCAAUUACUCAUACGAUUUGAAUGCAUUUUUGAUGUGGAAAGGUUCAGAACAAAUAUUCAAGACUACUGAGUUAUUACUUCUAAAAGGCAUUGAUCUUUCCAGUAAUAACUUCUCAGCAGAAAUUCCAGUGGAAAUAGAGAAUUUAGUUGAGUUGAUUUCAUUAAAUUUGUCAAGAAAUAAUUUUAUUGGACAAAUCCCUUCAAAUAUUGGAAAUCUAAAAUCACUUGAAUUUCUUGAUUUGUCAAGAAACCAAUUUAUUGGUUCAAUUCCUUUAAGUCUUGCUCAAAUUGAUCGACUCACUAUGUUAGAUUUGUCACAUAAUCAUUUAAGUGGAGUUAUUCCAAUUAGCACACAACUACAAAGUUUCAAUGCCUCAAGUUACGAAGAUAAUUUAAAUCUGUGUGGACCACCACUUGAAAAAUUAUGCAUUGAUGAUGGGCUAUCUCAAGAUCCGAUCUUUGAAAUUCAUGAAUAUUCUCUUUUCGGUCAUGAAUUUUACGUCAGUAUGACAGUGGGAUUUACAAUAACCUUUUGGAUUACAUUUGGCUCAAUGUUAUUCUUGAAGACCUGAUGAACAAUUUAAUUGACGACAUUUAUAUGGUAAUGGUGAAAUUCUCCAAUUACAAAUGGUUGGUGCAAAGUGGAUUAAGAGUAUCUCAAGAUCACACAUAUCUCAAAUGUUUGAGGUUGUAAACUUGGACGAAGCUGGAAAGUAUGGUUGGUUUAGUUGUUUUAAACAUGUUUUCAUUUUAUAUGGUGUUUUUAGUUCUGUAAUUUCAGUUAGAAUUGUUUGAUGUUGUUCUCUGUUUGAAUAAACUGAGGGUGAUGAAGUUGGACAAGAAAACUUAUUUUUAAUUCUAAGUAACAAGACAAUGCAUUUGCCA
Vigna unguiculata (cowpea) is the source of this 1615-nucleotide RNA transcript. It is a transcript of the gene named receptor-like protein EIX2, with no coding region annotated. The record is from RefSeq and is a predicted model, not a curated record. NCBI's taxonomy places the organism in Eukaryota, Viridiplantae, Streptophyta, Magnoliopsida, Fabales, Fabaceae.